UGAACGCUGGCGGUAUGCCUAACACAUGCAAGUCGUACGAGAGUUUUUAACUCUAGUGGCGGACGGGUGAGUAACACGUGAGAAUUUGCCUUUAGGAGGGGGAUAACAAUUGGAAACGAUUGCUAAUACCCCAUAUGCUUUCGAGUGAAAUGGAUUUAUAUUUAUCCGCCUAGAGAGAAGCUCGCGGCUGAUUAGCUUGUUGGUAAGGUAAUGGCUUACCAAGGCGACGAUCAGUAUCUGGUUUGAGAGGACGAUCAGACACACUGGAACUGAGACACGGUCCAGACUCCUACGGGAGGCAGCAGUGGGGAAUUUUCCGCAAUGGGCGAAAGCCUGACGGAGCAAUACCGCGUGAAGGAAGACGGCCUAUGGGUUGUAAACUUCUUUUCUCAGGGAGGAACUCAAUGACGUGUACCUGAGGAAUAAGCAUCGGCUAACUCC
Molecule: ribosomal RNA, 441 nt
Filed under: uncultured bacterium
Lineage: Bacteria
Description: bacterial SSU rRNA
Rfam family: Bacterial small subunit ribosomal RNA
Source: RNAcentral